AGAGUUUGAUCAUAGCUCAGAUUGAACGCUGGCGGCAGGCCUAACACAUGCAAGUCGAACGGUAACAGGAAGCAGCUUGCUGCUUCGCUGACGAGUGGCGGACGGGUGAGUAAUGUCUGGGAAGCUGCCUGAUGGAGGGGGAUAACUACUGGAAACGGUAGCUAAUACCGCAUAAUGUCGCAAGACCAAAGAGGGGGACCUUCGGGCCUCUUGCCAUCGGAUGUGCCCAGAUGGGAUUAGCUUGUUGGUGGGGUAACGGCUCACCAAGGCGACGAUCCCUAGCUGGUCUGAGAGGAUGACCAGCCACACUGGAACUGAGACACGGCCCAGACUCCUACGGGAGGCAGCAGUGGGGAAUAUUGCACAAUGGGCGCAAGCCUGAUGCAGCCAUGCCGCGUGUAUGAAGAAGGCCUUCGGGUUGUAAAGUACUUUCAGCGGGGAGGAAGGGAGUAAAGUUAAUACCUUUGCUCAUUGACGUUACCCGCAGAAGAAGCACCGGCUAACUCCGUGCCAGCAGCCGCGGUAAUACGGAGGGUGCAAGCGUUAAUCGGAAUUACUGGGCGUAAAGCGCACGCAGGCGGUUUGUUAAGUCAGAUGUGAAAUCCCCGGGCUCAACCUGGGAACUGCAUCUGAUACUGGCAAGCUUGAGUCUCGUAGAGGGGGGUAGAAUUCCAGGUGUAGCGGUGAAAUGCGUAGAGAUCUGGAGGAAUACCGGUGGCGAAGGCGGCCCCCUGGACGAAGACUGACGCUCAGGUGCGAAAGCGUGGGGAGCAAACAGGAUUAGAUACCAUGGUAGUCCACGCCGUAAACGAUGUCGACUUGGAGGUUGUGCCCUUGAGGCGUGGCUUCCGGAGCUAACGCGUUAAGUCGACCGCCUGGGGAGUACGGCCGCAAGGUUAAAACUCAAAUGAAUUGACGGGGGCCCGCACAAGCGGUGGAGCAUGUGGUUUAAUUCGAUGCAACGCGAAGAACCUUACCUGGUCUUGACAUCCACGGAAGUUUUCAGAGAUGAGAAUGUGCCUUCGGGAACCGUGAGACAGGUGCUGCAUGGCUGUCGUCAGCUCGUGUUGUGAAAUGUUGGGUUAAGUCCCGCAACGAGCGCAACCCUUAUCCUUUGUUGCCAGCGGUCCGGCCGGGAACUCAAAGGAGACUGCCAGUGAUAAACUGGAGGAAGGUGGGGAUGACGUCAAGUCAUCAUGGCCCUUACGACCAGGGCUACACACGUGCUACAAUGGCGCAUACAAAGAGAAGCGACCUCGCGAGAGCAAGCGGACCUCAUAAAGUGCGUCGUAGUCCGGAUUGGAGUCUGCAACUCGACUCCAUGAAGUCGGAAUCGCUAGUAAUCGUGGAUCAGAAUGCCACGGUGAAUACGUUCCCGGGCCUUGUACACACCGCCCGUCACACCAUGGGAGUGGGUUGCAAAAGAAGUAGGUAGCUUAACCUUCGGGAGGGCGCUUACCGCUUUGUGAUUCAUGACUGGGGUGAAGUCGUAACAAGGUAACCGUAGGGGAACCUGCGGUUG
Molecule: ribosomal RNA, 1522 nt
Filed under: metagenome
Description: bacterial SSU rRNA
Rfam family: Bacterial small subunit ribosomal RNA
Source: RNAcentral